This 482-nucleotide ribosomal RNA is filed under the name uncultured bacterium. RNAcentral's name for it is "partial 16S ribosomal RNA". It matches the Rfam family "Bacterial small subunit ribosomal RNA", at positions 30 to 507 of the family's 1533-position model. The record is from RNAcentral.
AUUGAACGCUGGCGGCAUGCUUUACACAUGCAAGUCGAACGGUAACAGGCCGCAAGGUGCUGACGAGUGGCGAACGGGUGAGUAAUGCAUCGGAACGUGCCCAGUCGUGGGGGAUAACUACUCGAAAGAGUAGCUAAUACCGCAUACUAUCUAUGGAUGAAAGCGGGGGACCGUAAGGCCUCGCGCGAUUGGAGCGGCCGAUGUCAGAUUAGGUAGUUGGUGGGGUAAAGGCUCACCAAGCCAACGAUCUGUAGCUGGUCUGAGAGGACGACCAGCCACACUGGGACUGAGACACGGCCCAGACUCCUACGGGAGGCAGCAGUGGGGAAUUUUGGACAAUGGGCGCAAGCCUGAUCCAGCAAUGCCGCGUGCAGGAAGAAGGCCUUCGGGUUGUAAACUGCUUUUGUACGGAACGAAACGGCUCUGGUUAAUACCCGGGGCUAAUGACGGUACCGUAAGAAUAAGCACCGGCUAACUACGUG